GACGAACGCUGGCGGCGUGCUUAACACAUGCAAGUCGAACGGAAAGGCCCUGCUUUUGUGGGGUGCUCGAGUGGCGAACGGGUGAGUAACACGUGAGUAACCUUCCCUUGACUUUGGGAUAACUUCAGGAAACUGGGGCUAAUACCGGAUAGGAGCUCCUGCUGCAUGGUGGGGGUUGGAAAGUUUCGGCGGUUGGGGAUGGACUCGCGGCUUAUCAGCUUGUUGGUGGGGUAGUGGCUUACCAAGGCUUUGACGGGUAGCCGGCCUGAGAUGGUGACCGGCCACAUUGGGACUGAGAUACGGCCCAGACUCCUACGGGAGGCAGCAGUGGGGAAUAUUGCACAAUGGGCGGAAGCCUGAUGCAGCAACGCCGCGUGCGGGAUGACGGCCUUCGGGUUGUAAACCGCUUUCGCCUGUGACGAAGCGUGAGUGACGGUAAUGGGUAAAGAAGCACCGGCUAACUACGUG
RNAcentral lists this ribosomal RNA (468 nucleotides) under uncultured bacterium. Its description in RNAcentral is "partial 16S ribosomal RNA". It matches the Rfam family "Bacterial small subunit ribosomal RNA", at positions 28 to 507 of the family's 1533-position model. The record is from RNAcentral.